Molecule: long non-coding RNA, 568 nt
Organism: Ornithodoros turicata
Lineage: Eukaryota; Metazoa; Arthropoda; Arachnida; Ixodida; Argasidae
Exons: 2
Source: RefSeq, a predicted model, not a curated record
CGUAACGGGCACGGACAGAGGUGCACGGGGGAUUGCGUUCUGGAAGAGAAGAUCCCUGGCUGACUGUCGGCAUCGUCUUGUGGGUCCUACCGCCUGGCUCUGGGUUUGAACGUCCACCUGGUCCUGGGUUCCUGGUUCUGGCUGCGGGUCUGCUCUACCAGGUUCUGGCUGCUGGUGUGCUCCCCCGGGUUCUUGCAUCUGGCUCUGGGUUGCGUGGUUGCUGGCGUUGCGAUGUCCGCCCCCGAGGGUUACCCAUGCUCACAGAGCAGUUCCUUUUGAAGUGUCCUCCGGCUUUGGUCGUAUUUUUGAAAGAGGGCGAAUGUAAGUCACUUGAAGAUCCCUGGCUGACUGUCGGCAUCGUCUUGUGGGUCCUACCGCCUGGCUCUGGGUUUGAACGUCCACCUGGUCCUGGGUUCCUGGUGCUGGCUGCGGGUCUGCCCUACCAGGUUCUGGCUGCUGGUGUGCUCCACCGGGUCCUUGUCUCUGGCUCUGGUUGCGUGGUUUCUGGCGUUGUCCGCCCCCGAGGGUUACCCACGCUCACAGUAAAGUUUCUUAUUACAACCUUGUA